AAUUGCCCUGUUCUUUUCAUUCCCUCUGGGGCACCUGGCGUUGUCUCCUGUCUUCCGACAGUGGCCAAUGCCAGAGGGAAUGAGCAGAACAAGUAAUCUUCAAGUGAUCCAGUGUGGAAUAUAUGUCAAGCAGCAUCAGGAACCAAACAAAACACACAUCUUGAGGGACUCAGGACACCUGGGUUCCAGUCCUGUCUGACACAGACUCGCUGUGUGACCUGCAGCAAGUCACUUAGGGUAACAUUUUCAAAAGUGACACCGCACUUAGGACCCUAUUUCUCAUUGAAAGUCACUGG
Dermochelys coriacea (leatherback sea turtle) is the source of this 296-nucleotide long non-coding RNA. RefSeq lists it as uncharacterized. The transcript has 3 exons. NCBI's taxonomy places the organism in Eukaryota, Metazoa, Chordata, Testudines, Dermochelyidae. The record is from RefSeq and is a predicted model, not a curated record.